AAGUAUUCAACUUGUUUAAUUUAUCUCACACUACCUUUUUCUUCAUCUUCUUUCACAUAGUUACCUAUUACAAGCCAUUCACUUUACGUGUACAUGAAAUUCAGCACCUUGUUUUGCAUGUUUGCUUCUCUACUCUUCACUGUUCUGUUCUAGUCACACCUCAAAAUCAAUCAAAUCCUUCAUUUUCAACACUAGGAAUGGCCAUUCUUCAAUUCCAUUGGUCACUUACACACACAUGCACUUCUAUUGUUUAUUCUUUUCAAAGUUGCAACUAUAUGAUAGUCUCUUCCAUUAUUUGCUUGAUCAUUCCUUUUAUAUGGCCAUCAUGUGAGAAUUGGUUCAAAAAUUUGAACCAAUGUUUUGAAAAUCGACAUGGACCGGAUGGUUCAACUGGUUUAAAAUAGUUGAACCAUAGUCUAGUGUGCCCGGUUCAACGUCCAAUUUGUUUUUUAAAACAUUAAAAUGAGAUUUUGAGAAAUAUAUUUGAAAGGUUUUUGCUAUUUAAGGCCAAUCCAUGGAAUGAGGUUGUUGAAGUAACUACUAGGGUUUGAAUGAAGAGGAAGGAUUAAAUAAAUCAAGUACUUGAACAGAACAAUGAAGAGAAAAGGAGCACACAAGCAAAACAUGGUGUUUAUUUCUAAUUUUUAGUAUUUAAUGUGAAUGGCUGGUAAUAGUUGAAUAUUAAAGAAGAAAAUUUUGUGAUCAAAGUGAAGUUAUCUCAGCAAAGUUUCUCCGAUGACUAACUAUAGUUAGCAGUCAAAAGGUUCAACUUGUGAAUGCAGGUGCAAAGGAACAUGUGAAUAUACACACCAUUAACAAAAUGAAAGGAAAAAGCCUCUGAAGUCAAUAGUGUGAGAUAUGAAAGUUGAUGUCCAACUAUGCUUAGAGUAAUAUGGAAAUUAUAUAUAUAAUUUCAAUUUGAAACAAAAGUUCUUGAAGAUUCAAAAAAUAUUCUAUCAAUUAUGCAGUAUUGUUUUGCCAAGAGUGUUUAGAAUAUGUGUAGAUACAUUAUUGUAAUUGGGCCAAUUUUGAAAGAUCAACCAAAUUCCUUUUAUUAAA
Cicer arietinum (chickpea) is the source of this 1059-nucleotide long non-coding RNA. RefSeq lists it as uncharacterized. NCBI's taxonomy places the organism in Eukaryota, Viridiplantae, Streptophyta, Magnoliopsida, Fabales, Fabaceae. The record is from RefSeq and is a predicted model, not a curated record.